GCCGUCAAAACUACAUUGCAACAUCUGUUGCUCAUCGAACUUCUCCUCCUUCUCUCUCUGCAAAUUGUUGUGCUUGAAAUUCCGGGGCAAGAUAAGCCUCGCAAACUCCACAGGGUCCCAAACCACGAAGCUUCUUCCAGUAGAACCCCACGAUAUGAUCAAAUCCAGCGACGGGUCGUCCACCAAAUCAAAUGUCUUUGCACAAAAACGGCGGCACCGGAGUCUCCUGCAGACACUGAAGCGGCUGCGGCACUCCAAUUUGGGAUAUGAAGUAUAAAGGUUUAAACCUCUUUAGUUUGGGAUAUGAAGUAUAAAGGUUUAAACCUCUUUAGUUAUGCAGUCACUCCAAUUAUAUGUAGAGUUUGGCAGAGAGUGAACACUGCAAACUCUUGAAAGGUCGCCCAUUUCAGUUUCAGGUUGAACUCGCCUAGCACAUUUAUAAUGGAUUUGGAAGUUUUGGGAUUGUUUGCUUGUUUCUGGGUUAUUAGUAUUUACGUUAGGAAAGAUUUUAGAAUCAGAAGUGAUGAAGUUAGUGCUCGUAAAGUAGAUUCUUCUAAUAUUGGCAAAGUAGAGAGAUAUGUAUGAUUCAGUAUAUGGUGGUGGUAGAAUGGACCUAAAAUACUUAUUCAUUUGAUCUGUUUACCAAUCUACCUGUACAUGUUUAUUGCAUUACCAUGGCUAAUAAUAAACUACAGCAUACCUACUAGGCUAAGUAGGCAUCCUGUAUCAGUUGCAUGAGUUAGCCAUUAUAGUUUUUCUUUAAUCCUAUAUAUUGUAAUAGUUUCUUCCCUGACUGUAGCAAGUUCGUACCAUCUUCCGCAGGAUCCUAAUUCAAAGCAUCUAGGAACUAUGGUUUGGGAUGCAUCACUGGUAUUCGCCAAGUUUCUGGCAAUGACUGUAACACUCUAGAGACUCUUAUUGGGGAUCCUGUUUGGAUUGACAGAGCUAUGUAUGCGCUGAAGAAGUCGGAUGGGAUUAUGGAGGAGGUGACCGAGGAGGAGUUGAUGGAUGCCCAAGUGGAUUCUACUGGCAUGUUUAUAUUUCCUCACACUGGUGUGGUGCUGGCGGCGUUGAUUAAGCUCCAGAUUUGGCCUGCCGGUUUGCCAACCCACCGGUUCAAGUGGGGCUGAUUUUGGGUCGAUAUGGAUGUUUUGAAGAAAUACUUGAGUAAUUCAGAGGCUCCAAAGCAUUAGUUUUGUAGAGGGCAUUGUGAGUGUGUUCUGCUCUACUGCUUCAUGUACUCUAAAUUUUAUUCGUUAUUUUUGCUUAAAGCGUUUAGGCAUUGGUAUU
Rosa rugosa (rugosa rose) is the source of this 1290-nucleotide long non-coding RNA. RefSeq lists it as uncharacterized. The record is from RefSeq and is a predicted model, not a curated record. The transcript has 3 exons. Lineage: Eukaryota; Viridiplantae; Streptophyta; Magnoliopsida; Rosales; Rosaceae.